RNAcentral lists this ribosomal RNA (672 nucleotides) under Triticum aestivum (bread wheat). RNAcentral describes it as "partial small subunit ribosomal RNA". The record is from RNAcentral. Lineage: Eukaryota; Viridiplantae; Streptophyta; Magnoliopsida; Poales; Poaceae.
AUGGAGGUUGCCAUUUCUACAGUUGCAAGUGAGCUUGUAAGCCAGUUCAUCUCCCUCCCGAUGAACAAGUAUCACUCCUCCAGCCAUGGACAUUCAGAGGAGAAGGUGGUGGAGAAGUUGCAGCAUCUCCUGAUCAGAGUAGGCACCACCGUUGAUGAAGCGGACGCUCGAUACAUAACCAACUCAGGGAUGAUGAUGCAGCUCAAGAUGCUCUUAGAGGCCAUGUACAGAGGGCACCGUCUGCUUGAUACCUGGAGGUACCGAGCUCUCCAAGACGGUGCAGGCUUUGACGAGGUUAGCAGCAACAACUCAUCUAGCAGCAGUUUGUAUUUAGCCAUUCCACUCAAGCGUUCUCGAACAACAACGGCGAAAGACGACAAGGCCAUUCGCCUCGAGUCACAUGAUGCUUUGGAAAGCUUAGAAAUUGUUGUUGCUAACAUGCCAGAAUUUGUUGUGCUUCUGGGCGGAUGUGAGUGCGUGUCUCGCAGGCCAUAUGACGUUUACCUUUACACCGACAAUUUCAUGUUUGGCCAACACGCUGAAAAGCAAAAGCUCUUGAGCUUCUUGUUGGAGCACAACGAUCCUUUAGGUGAUCACGCAUGGGGCGUCCUUCCGCUCAUAGGUGGUGUUGCAGUUGGGAAGAAAACUUUGGUUGCUCGUGUGUGGCGAUGA